This 404-nucleotide ribosomal RNA is filed under the name uncultured bacterium. RNAcentral describes it as "partial 16S ribosomal RNA". It matches the Rfam family "Bacterial small subunit ribosomal RNA", at positions 29 to 526 of the family's 1533-position model. The record is from RNAcentral.
AUUGAACGCUGGCGGCAGGCCUAACACAUGCAAGUCGAACGAGUGGCGGACGGGUGAGUAAUGCUUGGGAAUCUAGCUUCUGGAGGGGGAUAACUACGGGAAACUGUCGCUAAUACCGCGUACCAUAGGAUGAGCCCAAGUGGGAUUAGGUAGUAGGUGGGGUAAUGGCUCACCUAGGCGACGAUCCCUAGCUGGUCUGAGGAUGACCAGCCAAACUGGAACGGGGAAACGGUCCAGACGCCUACGGGAGGCAGCAUGGGGGAAUAUUGCACAAGGAGCGCAAGCCGAAUGCAGCCAUGCCGGGUGUGGGAAGAAGGCCUUGGGGUUGUAAAGCACUUUCAGCGAGGAGGCGUUACUCGCAGAAGAAGCACCGGCUAACUCCGUGCCAGCAGCCGCGGUAAUAC